Molecule: ribosomal RNA, 484 nt
Filed under: uncultured bacterium
Lineage: Bacteria
Description: partial 16S ribosomal RNA
Rfam family: Bacterial small subunit ribosomal RNA
Source: RNAcentral
AUUGAACGCUGGCAGCAGGCCUAACACAUGCAAGUCGAGCGGAUGAAGGGAGCUUGCUCCUGGAUUCAGCGGCGGACGGGUGAGUAAUGCCUAGGAGUCUGCCUGGUAGUGGGGGAUAACGUCCGUAAACGGGCGCUAAUACCGCAUACGUCCUGAGGGAGAAAGUGGGGGAUCUUCGGACCUCACGCUAUCAGAUGAGCCUAGGUCGGAUUAGCUAGUUGGUGGGGUAAAGGCCUACCAAGGCGACGAUCCGUAACUGGUCUGAGAGGAUGAUCAGUCACACUGGAACUGAGACACGGUCCAGACUCCUACGGGAGGCAGCAGUGGGGAAUAUUGGACAAUGGGCGAAAGCCUGAUCCAGCCAUGCCGCGUGUGUGAAGAAGGUCUUCGGAUUGUAAAGCACUUUAAGUUGGGAGGAAGGGCAGUAAGUUAAUACCUUGCUGUUUUGACGUUACCAACAGAAUAAGCACCGGCUAACUUCGUG